RNAcentral lists this ribosomal RNA (472 nucleotides) under uncultured bacterium. RNAcentral describes it as "bacterial SSU rRNA". It matches the Rfam family "Bacterial small subunit ribosomal RNA", at positions 355 to 825 of the family's 1533-position model. The record is from RNAcentral.
UGGGGAAUAUUGGGCAAUGGGCGAAAGCCUGAUCCAGCCAUGCCGCGUGUGUGAAGAAGGUCUUCGGAUUGUAAAGCACUUUAAGUUGGGAGGAAGGGCAGUUACCUAAUACGUGAUUGUUUUGACGUUACCGACAGAAUAAGCACCGGCUAACUCUGUGCCAGCAGCCGCGGUAAUACAGAGGGUGCAAGCGUUAAUCGGAAUUACUGGGCGUAAAGCGCGCGUAGGUGGUUAGUUAAGUUGGAUGUGAAAUCCCCGGGCUCAACCUGGGAACUGCAUUCAAAACUGACUGACUAGAGUAUGGUAGAGGGUGGUGGAAUUUCCUGUGUAGCGGUGAAAUGCGUAGAUAUAGGAAGGAACACCAGUGGCGAAGGCGACCACCUGGACUGAUACUGACACUGAGGUGCGAAAGCGUGGGGAGCAAACAGGAUUAGAUACCCCCGUAGUCCCUGAGCGGGCUGGCAAGGCGCAU